UGCCAACACACCAAACAGUAAAUCCUCUUUUGCAACCCAGAGCUCGUUGUUUAGUAUGAGUUUGGAGGAACAUCUAAGAAGGAAUACG
This 88-nucleotide small nucleolar RNA is filed under the name Dipodomys ordii (Ord's kangaroo rat). RNAcentral's name for it is "Small nucleolar RNA SNORA40". It matches the Rfam family "Small nucleolar RNA SNORA40". From Rfam's summary of the family: The snoRNA ACA 40 belongs to the H/ACA family of snoRNAs and guides the pseudouridylation of 28S rRNA subunit at position U4565. NB This family has a high threshold value to exclude a large number of closely related sequences that do not appear to have conserved H and ACA boxes, and may be pseudogenes. The record is from Rfam by way of RNAcentral. Lineage: Eukaryota; Metazoa; Chordata; Mammalia; Rodentia; Heteromyidae.